This 742-nucleotide ribosomal RNA is filed under the name uncultured bacterium. RNAcentral's name for it is "bacterial SSU rRNA". It matches the Rfam family "Bacterial small subunit ribosomal RNA", at positions 8 to 796 of the family's 1533-position model. The record is from RNAcentral.
AGAGUUUGAUCAUGGCUCAGAGCGAACGCUGGCGGCAGGCCUAAUACAUGCAAGUCGAACGGAUCCUUCGGGAUUAGUGGCGGACGGGUGAGUAACACGUGGGAACGUGCCCUUUGGUUCGGAACAACUCAGGGAAACUUGAGCUAAUACCGAAUGAGCCCUACGGGGGAAAGAUUUAUCGCCAUUGGAGCGGCCCGCGUCUGAUUAGCUAGUUGGUGAGGUAAAGGCUCACCAAGGCGACGAUCAGUAGCUGGUCUGAGAGGAUGAUCAGCCACACUGGGACUGAGACACGGCCCAGACUCCUACGGGAGGCAGCAGUAGGGAAUCUUGCGCAAUGGGCGAAAGCCUGACGCAGCCAUGCCGCGUGAAUGAUGAAGGUCUUAGGAUUGUAAAAUUCUUUCAGCGGGGACGAUAAUGACGGUACCCGCAGAAGAAGCCCCGGCUAACUUCGUGCCAGCAGCCGCGGUAAUACGAAGGGGGCUAGCGUUGCUCGGAAUUACUGGGCGUAAAGGGCGCGUAGGCGGACAGUUUAGUCAGAGGUUAAAGCCCAGGGCUCAACCUUGGAAUCGCCUUUGAUACUGGCUGUCUUGAGUACGGGAGAGGUGUGUGGAACUCCGAGUGUAGAGGUGAAAUUCGUAGAUAUUCGGAAGAACACCAGUGGCGAAGGCGACACACUGGCCCGUUACUGACGCUGAGGCGCGAAAGCGUGGGGAGCAAACAGGAUUAGAUACCCUAGUAGUCC